GCAAAAGUAACAGGCGAUGAA
Molecule: non-coding RNA, 21 nt
Organism: Caenorhabditis elegans
Lineage: Eukaryota; Metazoa; Nematoda; Chromadorea; Rhabditida; Rhabditidae
Source: Ensembl